This 494-nucleotide ribosomal RNA is filed under the name uncultured bacterium. Its description in RNAcentral is "partial 16S ribosomal RNA". It matches the Rfam family "Bacterial small subunit ribosomal RNA", at positions 28 to 507 of the family's 1533-position model. The record is from RNAcentral.
GACGAACGCUGGCGGCGCGCUUAACACAUGCAAGUCGAACGGAAAGGCCUGCUUUCCCUUGUGGAUUGCGGGUACUCGAGUGGCGAACGGGUGAGUAACACGUGAGUGAUCUGCCCCCAACUUGGGUAUAAGCCUGGGAAACUGGGUCUAAUUCCCGAUAGGACUGCAGGGUGGUGCCUGUGGUGGAAAACGAUUUUCUAGUGGUUGGGGAUGAGCUCGCGGCCUAUCAGCUUGUUGGUGGGGUAAUGGCCUACCAAGGCGGCGACGGGUAGCCGGCCUGGGAGAGUGGACGGCCACAUUGGGACUGCGAUACGGCCCAGACGCCUACGGGAGGCAGCAGUGGGGAAUAUUGCACAAUGGGCGGAAGCCUGAUGCAGCGACGCCGCGGGGGGGAUGACGGCCUUCGGGUUGUAAACUCCUUUCGACCGCGAGGAAGCCACCUGGUUGGAAGGGUGGUGACGGUAGUGGUAGAAGAAGCACCGGCUAACUACGUG